This 1274-nucleotide long non-coding RNA is filed under the name Apteryx owenii (little spotted kiwi). Its description in RNAcentral is "lncRNA (ENSAOWG00000013895.1)". Lineage: Eukaryota; Metazoa; Chordata; Aves; Apterygiformes; Apterygidae. The record is from RNAcentral.
CACUACUUACUGGAGAAGAGCAACAUCUGCUCAUAAUGCAUCAAAAGACCAGGUCUGUUGAGGGGGACGUGGGGAAGAGGCACUAGCAAAGCCCCGCACUCAGCAAACAAAACCCAUGACGCUUCCCACCUCGCGCAAAGGAAGCGCAGGCUUUGGCCCCCGCAGAAGGACGGCUGAGCGCAACCGACAGCAGCUCGGCUGCAAGGACGUGUGUGGCCCCUUGCCAUCCAUGGACACGCUGUCCCAGCCACCCCGGGCAGCUCCUGCAGCGUGAGGUAAUGGCGAGUGGGCAGCCAACAAGAGACCUGAGGACAGAGCCAAAAAAUACAUGGAAAUUGAGAGAAGAGUGAUAACGCAAAAGGGAUGUGAGCGCUAAGCAGCAGAAGGGCACAAGAAAACAUGAGAGGCAAAUGGAAGCUGCAGCAGAGCCCAGCACAGGUAGCAGGAUACAGUUGGCAGGAACCAUUCACAUUUCCAAAAUGAAGCUUUAACUAAGCCUUGCAAGGUGGAGUUCAUUUUCAGCAGCAAGAUCUCUACCAGAGAGUUGUUACAAAUCUGAUAGAUCAUUAAUACUUUAUUUUAUACAUAUCUUUAAUUGACAAUAUAGUAUGUAGGUCAGGCUGUACUUUUGGGAGAGAUUUCCACCUGCUCCCUAUGUUUGCCUUGAUCGGAAAUGAAAUGCUUGCUUGCAAGUGACUAUAAAAUGUACUCCUAAAUUAUCCACAGGACUCUCCCUCUGAGUCCAAGGCUAGUCAUUGUUAACAGAUGGGACUUCAGUCUGUCAUUAAGCCAUGUUUGAGCUAGAAGUAGAAUUAAUGUUCAGAGAGGAGAAUACAAAAUGCAGGAUCCCAGUGUCUUUAAACUCAGAUAUAUGCCACGCAGUGAGUUGUUUUCCAUUUAGCUCCCUUGGUCAGGGACAGUAAACAUAUGAAAGGAAGUUAAUUAGCCCCUCUGAAGGAAUUUUUCCAACAAACCAUCAUCAAAAUGCGAAUGCUAUCUGAAAGUCAGUACAUACCUUUAGAGGAACUUUGGAAGAAAUGCAGGUAACGAGGAAAAACGGUAUUCCUGGCCUGUUUAUCCCCCAAAGCAAUGAAAAAAUGUUCAGACGGUAUAGCUGCAUCUGGAAAGGACGUGUGUUGACAGCAUGAGGAAGCAGAAUAUGAGUCUUGAAAACUCUAUAUUAAACAGGUACCUUUUUCAGUAUGCCUGAAAGGAAAUCAAAUAUGACGUAUUUCAGGACAGUGGGUCCUGGAGACCUAGAGCUUUUGUACAGC